Molecule: ribosomal RNA, 811 nt
Filed under: Micrococcus sp. 3S3
Lineage: Bacteria; Bacillati; Actinomycetota; Actinomycetes; Micrococcales; Micrococcaceae
Description: bacterial SSU rRNA
Rfam family: Bacterial small subunit ribosomal RNA
Source: RNAcentral
AAGUAAUGGCUCAUCAAGGCGACGACGGGUAGCCGGCCUGAGAGGGUGACCGGGCACACUGGGACUGAGACACGGCCCAGACUCCUACGGAGGCAGCAGUGGGGAAUAUUGCACAAUGGGCGAAAGCCUGAUGCAGCGACGCCGCGUGAGGGAUGACGGCCUUCGGGUUGUAAACCUCUUUCAGUAGGGAAGAAGCGAAAGUGACGGUACCUGCAGAAGAAGCACCGGCUAACUACGUGCCAGCAGCCGCGGUAAUACGUAGGGUGCGAGCGUUAUCCGGAAUUAUUGGGCGUAAAGAGCUCGUAGGCGGUUUGUCGCGUCUGUCGUGAAAGUCCGGGGCUUAACCCCGGAUCUGCGGUGGGUACGGGCAGACUAGAGUGCAGUAGGGGAGACUGGAAUUCCUGGUGUAGCGGUGGAAUGCGCAGAUAUCAGGAGGAACACCGAUGGCGAAGGCAGGUCUCUGGGCUGUAACUGACGCUGAGGAGCGAAAGCAUGGGGAGCGAACAGGAUUAGAUACCCUGGUAGUCCAUGCCGUAAACGUUGGGCACUAGGUGUGGGGACCAUUCCACGGUUUCCGCGCCGCAGCUAACGCAUUAAGUGCCCCGCCUGGGGAGUACGGCCGCAAGGCUAAAACUCAAAGGAAUUGACGGGGGCCCGCACAAGCGGCGGAGCAUGCGGAUUAAUUCGAUGCAACGCGAAGAACCUUACCAAGGCUUGACAUGUUCUCGAUCGCCGUAGAGAUACGGUUUCCCCUUUGGGGCGGGAUCACAGGUGGUGACAUGGUGAUCGUCAGCUCGUGUCCUGAGAUUUG